Molecule: ribosomal RNA, 514 nt
Filed under: uncultured Lactobacillus sp.
Lineage: Bacteria; Bacillati; Bacillota; Bacilli; Lactobacillales; Lactobacillaceae
Description: bacterial SSU rRNA
Rfam family: Bacterial small subunit ribosomal RNA
Source: RNAcentral
GUGCCAGCCGCUGCGGUAAUACGUAGGUGGCAAGCGUUGUCCGGAUUUAUUGGGCGUAAAGGGAACGCAGGCGGUCUUUAAGUCUGAUGUGAAAGCCUUCGGCUUAACCGAAGUCGGGCAUUGGAAACUGGGAGACUUGAGUGCAGAAGAGGAGAGUGGAACUCCAUGUGUAGCGGUGAAAUGCGUAGAUAUAUGGAAGAACACCAGUGGCGAAAGCGGCUCUCUGGUCUGUAACUGACGCUGAGGUUCGAAAGCGUGGGUAGCAAACAGGAUUAGAUACCCUGGUAGUCCACGCCGUAAACGAUGAAUGCUAAGUGUUGGGAGGGUUUCCGCCCUUCAGUGCCGCAGCUAACGCAUUAAGCAUUCCGCCUGGGGAGUACGAUCGCAAGAUUGAAACUCAAAGGAAUUGACGGGGCCCGCACAAGCGGUGGAGCAUGUGGUUAAUUCGAAGCAACGCGAAGAACCUUACAGGUCUUGACAUCUUUUGCUAACCUGAGAGAUCAGGUGUUCCCUU